This 96-nucleotide non-coding RNA is filed under the name Luteibacter rhizovicinus. RNAcentral's name for it is "Glycine sequence". It matches the Rfam family "Glycine riboswitch aptamer". Rfam says of the family: This family represents the bacterial glycine riboswitch. Glycine riboswitches usually consist of two metabolite-binding aptamers domains with similar structures in tandem. Lineage: Bacteria; Pseudomonadati; Pseudomonadota; Gammaproteobacteria; Lysobacterales; Rhodanobacteraceae. The record is from RNAcentral.
CUUCAUCACUCUGGAGAGACCGGUUGAAUCCGGCGCCGAAGGUGCAAGAGGCCUACCCGCCUCCAAACUCUCAGGCAAAAGGACAGAGGGGCGCCC